CUACAGGUUUUUUUUAAAACCACAAUCCUUAAAGUUUAUUCUUAU
Molecule: non-coding RNA, 45 nt
Organism: Chelonia mydas (Green sea turtle)
Lineage: Eukaryota; Metazoa; Chordata; Testudines; Cheloniidae
Source: Rfam